GGGGAUGACCGGAUUUGACAGCAAGGUAAAUGUAUUAGUAAGCAUGUCGAGUAUUGCUAUACUAACUCGGUAAAAAAGUAUGCAAAUUUUAAACGGCGAAAAUAAUUACGCUUUAGCUGCUUAAUAAUUUAUUAAAUAGCUUUUGUCCCGGAUUCAGGUUUGUUCAACACCUGUAACUUGGGGCAUCAUUAAGUUGAACUAGCUUUAAUCUUUCCUGGAUUUUAACGCAAAUUAUAACAGGAUAAGGUAAGUUUUGGUUGUGUUAUAGCUGAACUUAUUCGAAAAAAAAAUAACACUAAACAUGUAGAAAGUUAUUAUGUUUCUUGUUUGGACCAGGGUUCGAUUCCCUGCAUCUCCACCA
RNAcentral lists this transfer-messenger RNA (361 nucleotides) under Flavobacteriales. RNAcentral's name for it is "GCA-002701365 sp002701365 Standard tmRNA". It matches the Rfam family "transfer-messenger RNA". Rfam says of the family: Bacterial tmRNA, also known as 10Sa RNA or SsrA, is named for its dual tRNA and mRNA-like properties. Its role is to liberate the mRNA from a stalled ribosome. Lineage: Bacteria; Pseudomonadati; Bacteroidota; Flavobacteriia. RNAcentral also lists the same sequence under 2 other names. The record is from RNAcentral.